RNA transcript from Mastomys coucha (southern multimammate mouse), 2125 nucleotides. It is a transcript of the gene named neuregulin 4, with no coding region annotated. The transcript is spliced from 9 exons. The record is from RefSeq and is a predicted model, not a curated record. Lineage: Eukaryota; Metazoa; Chordata; Mammalia; Rodentia; Muridae.
CACACGGUGUGCCGGGGAGCGGCGGCGGGCAGCGUCCUCCGAGGUUUCUACCGGCCGCCUCUGGCGUGUGCAUUGCCCCAAGGAGCCUUUGAAGGCAUUGUCCACCUCUCGGUGGUCCCCGUCACAUUCUCACGUGACAGAUAACACUGUGCAUGUUGGUCGUGUAUUGUAGAUGAAGAGUUUUCUGCCCUUGAAGAGCCUGUCCCGAUUGAGAAUGCCUAGAGUAGACCAAGUGACUGAGCAAUCUGGGGUGGUUAAAAAAAAAAGAAAUCAUCCCUCGCCUGUAAAUAUACUGCUGUGAACAGUUUUUAAAAAACAGUUUUAAAUUCCUGCUUUAAAAAUAUAUAUAGCCCAUUUCCUUUGGGGUUCUGGUCUUCUUAGAUACUUUUAAGAUCGGAAACCCUUCUUUCUCUAGGGCACAAAGUUCCUGGGUGACUUUGGGGUUCUCCCCCAUUGGCUUCCCCUCCAGAAUAAUUACUAUUUGGUUAGCUUCACGUUUCCUUCUGGGACGCCCGGCGACUUUCUUGCCUUCUCUUCCCAAUCAGCCCUUCUAGCAAAAUGGUAGAAAUUAGAAUUGAAAGUUUUAAAACCCAGGCCAUACAUAGAACUGCCUGAAGGGCUGGGAUCAGUCUUUUAAUAGAUACAGAAAUGUCUAGACAAGGAAUGUGCAUCUAAAUUUGGCCACCUGAAGGGAAAAGUGUAAUGUUUUUGUAUAGUCCUUACCUACCAACAUUUCUUAACCAUCUGUAAUGCCUAAUUUCAGGGGUGAGGGAUCCCUUGGAGAAAAUUGUUAUAGAAGUUAACUUGGCUUGAUAGGAUUUCCCCCUACCAGUUCUAGGCACAAAUAGACUGGAAAGUAGAAAUGCUGCCCUCCCUUCAUGCCCCUCCCCUCCCCCACCCAUUUAGUAGAACUACACUUAAGUUUCCUUAAGGGCAUUGAACCUCCUUCAUGACAGUGUUUUGCUGGCUAGACAUCUGGCAAAACAUUCAGAUACAAACAGGUUAGCCUGUAGACAGACCUGUGAGGCGUUCUCUUGAUGAAAGAUUGGUGUGAAAGGGUCCAGCUGUGCCUUCCCACACUCUGGGCGGUGCCACCAUUGGGUAGGUGGUCCUAGUUGCUCUAAGAAAGCAGGCUAUUAAAGCUAGCAAGCAGUGCUCUUCCACAGCCUAUGCAUCAGGUUUUGCCUUGGCUUCCCUCGAUGAUGGACUCUAAACUCCUUGGUUCCUACCUGAGCAGAAACAGUAGAUAUGAGCCACAGCCCAAAGGCUCGUCUGCCUCCUUCCACUAUGCAGCCUAGAAGAACAGGAGAAGAGCAGGGGUCUAAGGGUGUGGCAGGUGCUGUUUUUCAACCUUAAUUCUUCCACCAAGAAUGAAACUAUUUAAAAAUUAAGAUGCCAACAGAUCACGAGCAGCCCUGUGGUCCCAGGCACAGGUCAUUUUGCCUGAAUGGGGGGAUUUGUUAUGUGAUUCCUACUAUCCCCAGCCCAUUCUGUAGGUGCAUUGAAAAUUAUACGGGAGCUCGUUGCGAAGAGGUUUUUCUCCCAAGCUCCAGCAUCCAAAGCAAAAGUAACCUGUCGGCAGCUUUCGUGGCGCUGGCAGUCCUCGCCACUCUCGCCUUUGCGGUGCUCUGCUUCCUGUGCAGGAAGGGCCACCUUCAAAGGGCCAGUUCAGUCCAGUGUGAGAUCAGCCUGGUAGAGACAAGCAAUACCAGUACCCGCCACAGCUACAGAGAGCACUGAUGACAUCCCCAGUGGAGGGCAUUAUUACCUACAAAGGCAGACUGUGGACCAUACAACAAGAGAAGGCGCAACACAACAAGGAAGGCCAGAACUCUAAAAUACAUCAACAGGUAACACUGAAGGAGCCUGAUCCUGACAUUCUUAAAAAACAACAAAUCCAAGUUUAGUUCUUUGCUGCCAGUUAUGCUGAGUGAGCAUCUUGGCAGGAGCAAAUGGGAUGAACUGGUAUGUUAGCAAUUCCUUUUCUUCUGUAUUUUCUUGAAACGGCAUCACUGCCCUGGAAGUGACCAGUGUAGAUAAGGCUGGUCCUGAAUUCAAGAGACUCACCUGUUUUUGCCUACUCAGAGUUACUGGAAUUAAUGGCACAACACUACACUCUGCUUGA